RNAcentral lists this ribosomal RNA (621 nucleotides) under uncultured bacterium. Its description in RNAcentral is "bacterial SSU rRNA". It matches the Rfam family "Bacterial small subunit ribosomal RNA", at positions 116 to 716 of the family's 1533-position model. The record is from RNAcentral.
CGUGGGUAAUCUGCCUGGGAGCGGGGGAUAACCUGGGGAAACUCGGGCUAAUACCGCAUACGUUGGUGGGGAUACGUCUUCAUCAAGAAAACUGGCCUCUGCUUGCAAGCUAGUGCUCCCAGAGGAGCCCGCGGCUGAUUAGCUAGUUGGUGAGGUAAUGGCUCACCAAGGCUUCGAUCAGUAGCCGGCCUGAGAGGGUGAUCGGCCACACUGGGACUGAGACACGGCCCAGACUCCUACGGGAGGCAGCAGUGGGGAAUAUUGGACAAUGGGCGCAAGCCUGAUCCAGCAACGCCGCGUGGAGGAUGAAGGUCUUCGGAUCGUAAACUCCUGUCAGACGGGACGAAGGUAGCAGGGUGAACAAUCCUGCUGUUUGACGGUACCGUCAGAGGAAGCCCCGGCUAACUCCGUGCCAGCAGCCGCGGUAAUACGGAGGGGGCGAGCGUUAUUCGGAAUUAUUGGGCGUAAAGGGCGCGUAGGCGGCUUCAUAAGUCAAAGGUGAAAUCCCUCGGCUCAACUGAGGAACUGCCUUUGAAACUGUGGAGCUUGAGGCCGGGAGGGGGUAGCGGAAUUCCCAGUGUAGCGGUGAAAUGCGUAGAUAUUGGGAGGAACACCAGUGGC